This 301-nucleotide ribosomal RNA is filed under the name uncultured bacterium. Its description in RNAcentral is "partial 16S ribosomal RNA". It matches the Rfam family "Bacterial small subunit ribosomal RNA", at positions 509 to 807 of the family's 1533-position model. The record is from RNAcentral.
CAGCCGCCGCGGGAAUACGAAGGGGGCUAGCGUUGUUCGGAAUUACUGGGCGUAAAGCGCACGUAGGCGGAUAUUUAAGUCAGGGGUGAAAUCCCAGAGCUCGACUCUGGAACUGCCUUUGAUACUGGGUAUCUUGAGUAUGGAGGAGGUGAGUGGAAUUCCGAGUGUAGAGGUGAAAUUCGUAGAUAUUCGGAGGAACACCAGUGGCGAAGGCGGCUCACUGGUCCAUUACUGACGCUGAGGUGCGAAAGCGUGGGGAGCAAACAGGAUUAGAUACCCCCGUAGUCCCUGUCUCUUAUAC